Molecule: long non-coding RNA, 1106 nt
Filed under: Phasianus colchicus (ring-necked pheasant)
Lineage: Eukaryota; Metazoa; Chordata; Aves; Galliformes; Phasianidae
Description: lncRNA (ENSPCLG00000008149.1)
Source: RNAcentral
GUUAUAUUCCUAUAAAAUCCUUCUUAAUUAAAAAGUGUGAUCAACAUAGCUAACAGCUAUAAAAGGGACAUCUGUGCCCUAUGCAUUUCAUCUCUAUGCCUGAGAGCUCUCCAAACCUCCCUCCUUCUUAGAUCAAUGGCAAAAAAGUAUAACUUAUUAUCUCUAUUGUACUUAUGAUAAACAAAAUUGUGGGGCUGGGCUGAUACGAGUGCUGGUGCAAGGUGGGGAAAUAAGAGCAGGGGCCUUAAUAAAACCAUCUUAAGAAAGAGGAGUAACUGAUUAUGGAUAUACUAGACAUUUUGGAUAGAUGUAAACCACUGCUUUUUUUUUUUAAAUGUAAAACCUGGUUUUAAAAGAGUUAAUGUAUAAACUGUGAAAUGUUUUAGCAAUAUGAAAUCUGGUUUUGACUCCAUGGCUCAGUCUCGGCACUACCCCUGUCUGUGGUGCAAUAAACUCAGUUGAGCUGCAUGUAAUCUAUUUACAAAAACAGCAGCUUUGCAGUCCUUGAUUUGUGUGUCCUUUUAAUUUCUCCAUCCCUGUUGAGUCUCCCUCUGAUGCACCAUGCCAUGAAGAUGAUUAACCUCCAGCACUUUAUCAGCCCAAGAUCCACGGCUGUGGCAGUGCAAGGAACUAUCCUGGUGUAACUGUAGUGCAAGCCAGGCCUGAAGACCAGGUGCUGGGUCUCUGCCCGCUAAGUGCAAAGCCGUUUCUUCCUCACAAAAGCUAGCAAUUUGCUUAAAUCCUGAGAAUAAACCUUAAAUGCUCAGUAAGAUAAGAUUGAUAAGAGGCAACCCCAGCCUCUUAUCAAAUAGAUGGCUAAACUGACCCCCAGGUGGGCUUGGGAGGCAGGGUUCUCCAGACAGUUCUGGAACUUUCUCCUGAGCGCCCCUCGCACCCUCAGGAGCAGCUGCUGGAGGAACCCACAGGUGCAGUGCAGUGCAGUGAUCCCGGCAGGCACUCACAGACACCUGAACCCAGGUGCAGCUGUUCUGGGCACCAGAACCUGGUGUUGCCCUUCCUUGGGAAGGGGACAGAAUCUAUGGAAUACCAUGGAUGCUGGUGGAAAAGAGGUUCCUAGGAAGAGGGAAGUCUACUACUGUAUGUAA